CUUCAGGCUUGCUGGUAUGAGUCAGAAACAGCUCUGUAUUUGUGGGUCUGAAGGUUUGCUCAUGGUGGGCAGGGCUGCUCCUGGAGAUACAUGGUCUCAAACUGUGACUGUUUAAUGAGGAGGAUGAGGAGACAAAUCCUGAGGAUACUCUUACGUGUGCUUCUAGCAAACAGAGGUCUUGAAGGAGGAUACUGAGAGAAUGAUUCUCUGUUUUGAAUCUAAUGGAGGAGUUGCUAUCCUCCAGAGCAAAUGUUACAUGGAAAACCAGAAGAUGCUGAUGAAGACACACCUGUAAUACAGUUCCUGAAGCAGUGAUGUAUUACUGGAAUGCAAUGCUUGAUCGAUUUCCAA
Long non-coding RNA from Hirundo rustica (Barn swallow), 351 nucleotides. RefSeq lists it as uncharacterized. Lineage: Eukaryota; Metazoa; Chordata; Aves; Passeriformes; Hirundinidae. The record is from RefSeq and is a predicted model, not a curated record. The transcript is spliced from 3 exons.